This 490-nucleotide ribosomal RNA is filed under the name uncultured bacterium. RNAcentral describes it as "partial 16S ribosomal RNA". It matches the Rfam family "Bacterial small subunit ribosomal RNA", at positions 30 to 507 of the family's 1533-position model. The record is from RNAcentral.
AUUGAACGCUGGCGGCAGGCCUAACACAUGCAAGUCGAACGGUAACAGGAAGCAGCUUGCUGCUUCGCUGACGAGUGGCGCACGGGUGAGUAAUGUCCGGGAAGCUGCCUGAUUUCGGGGGAUAACUACUGGAAACGCUAGCUCAUACCGCAUAAUCUCGCAAGACCAAAGAGCAGGACCUUCUGGCCUCUUGCCAUCUGAUGUGCCCAGAUGGGAUUAGCUCGUUGGUGGGGUAACGGCUCACCAAGGCGACGAUCCCUAGCUGGUCUGAGAGGAUGACCAGCCACACUGGAACUGAGACACGGUCCAGACUCCUACGGGAGGCAGCAGUGGGGAAUAUUGCACAAUGGGCGCAAGCCUGAUGCAGCCAUGCCGCGUGUAUGAAGAAGGCCUUCGGGUUGUAAAGUACUUUCGGCGGGGAGGAAGGGAGGAAAGUUAAUACCUUUGCGCAUUGACGUUACCCGCAGAAGAAGCACCGGCUAACUCCGUG